RNAcentral lists this microRNA precursor (59 nucleotides) under Ascaris suum (pig roundworm). RNAcentral describes it as "Asu-Mir-305_pre stem-loop". Lineage: Eukaryota; Metazoa; Nematoda; Chromadorea; Rhabditida; Ascarididae. The record is from RNAcentral.
UUUGUACUUCGGCUAAGGUGCUGCUCUAUGGCGGCCAGUACCUUGGCUAGGUGCAACGC